Molecule: long non-coding RNA, 276 nt
Filed under: Gossypium barbadense (sea-island cotton)
Lineage: Eukaryota; Viridiplantae; Streptophyta; Magnoliopsida; Malvales; Malvaceae
Description: long non-coding RNA (GBAR_LNC017656)
Source: RNAcentral
AAUUAAAUGACUAUUCAUAAUUGAAUAAUAAAAAAAUAUUUACUAAUAGUUCGGUGACUAUAAAGUAAUUUACUUAAUUGAAAACAUGUUUAUGUAAAGCAAACAUGCUUUAUAAACAAAAUAACAUGUACUUCAAACAUAAAUUGCUUAAAACUAGAUAUUUUGAUUGACUUGGAACUGAGCUCCAUCACUAACUUGACAAUUUUGUUCAACAUCCUCAAUUUCUUGCAUUUGCAAAGUGAGUUUAAGUCUUUUCGCUACAUCGUUCAUGGAAGG